This is an RNA transcript of Zingiber officinale, 1734 nucleotides long. It is a transcript of the gene named methionine aminopeptidase 1A-like, with no coding region annotated. The record is from RefSeq and is a predicted model, not a curated record. The transcript has 2 exons. Lineage: Eukaryota; Viridiplantae; Streptophyta; Magnoliopsida; Zingiberales; Zingiberaceae.
UUUCCCUAAACCUUCUUUCCAGAGCAUCUGCUAACCCACGCCGUUAGGCUCUCAGUGCCCUCGCCUGCUGACUUUUUAGUACUCGAUGAAUAGGACCGAUGGUGCGGAUCUGGAGGUGGAUCCAUUGGUGGAGGAGUCCGAGGUGGUAGGAGGGGGAACGGAGAACUGCGAGGAAAAAAGAUUGGAACUGGAUGGACUUACCGUCAGGAUCGGCGUGCCUGCUACUCUUAGCAAAAUAAGAUCGCACUGGAUGAGCUUAGGAGAUCAGGCAUUCUUCCUGCUGUUCAUUUCUUGCACGAAUUCUCUCUGUUUUAGCCCCAUUCUAUCAUGGUCAAAUUUGCCAAUUGAGCCAUUAGAUAAGGAUGCUGGAGGGGCUUAUCCAAAUGUUUGAGAAGGCCUUGUAGGGAAAGCCUAAUCUGGCUUGGGAAGGAGCCAUUACAGGGAGACCUCCAACUUUCAUUUUAGCUGUAGCAUUUACGUUACUCUAUCCAAGAUAAUCUAAUAUGAAAGAUGUAUUAUGUUUUCCUAAACUUUUCUGAACUUUUAUCAUGCCAUUUCUUUAUGAAUUUAUAUAAGCCCAGUUCAUUUUAUGAAAUUUUAUUAGACAAUUCCAUCUUAUAUGGCAGAAUUCUCUCUGUUUUAGCUCCAUUCUAUCAUGGUCAAAUUUGCCAAUUGAGCCAUUAGAUAAGGAUGCUGGAGGGACUUAUCCAAAUGUUUGAGAAGGCCUUGUAGGGAAAGCCUAAUCUGGUUUGGGAAGGAGCUGUUACAGGGAGACCUCGAACUUUCAUUGUAGCUGUGAUACUAAGCAUAUAAAGCAGAUAAAAUGUAAAUGAAAAGUUAACAGCUAUAGAGAAAGAGAGUAGGUCUUUUGAAAUCCUUUCAUUUUGGCUUAAGUCAUUAAUGUGAGAAAAUGAAAAACUCAUUUAUUGGGUAAUCAGUAGAGGAUGGUUGUGGAGGCCUGCAAUUAGGUGGAAUGCCCAUUGUCAAUGUGUUUUAUUGGAAAAAUGGGGCAUGCGGAGGACUAGUGCCAUGUGGUGCUCGAAUUGACUUGGUCCCACUAUGAUGGACUUCAACAGCUUCAUGUGAUGGGGUUCUACUAUUCAAUAUUUUUACAUCAACCUCAUCCACUUGCUAAAACCAAGAGGGAAGAUGAAUUGCAGGCAGAUUUGGGGCAGCAAUGGUGCUUUUGUUUCUUGCUACACCCAACUAGCUUUGAAUGUUUGGUUACUUUGAAACUUAAUGCAUCUCAUUGGAUGAUGCUGAUAAAUAUUUCUCUAGAACUGUGGAUCCUGGAUCCUAGAUCCUAUUGCAGUUUGUACCAGUUAUAUGAAUUGGUAGUUAUCAGUCUAAGUAAAUGCUAGUACAUAAAACUCUAAUUGAGAUUGUAUUGAUCUAUUCAAUAUUUUCUGAGUGCUACCCUUGUACAAACAAGGUAUGCAAGUCUGAUGUUCUGCUGAAUUGUAUACAAAUUAGAAUCUGCUCUUGUUGAAGAUAAUAAAGAGCUAAAGAUUCUUCACCUACGGAGAAAAGCCCUCCAAAACAAAAUCCAGACAUAUAGCCAAGAAUGCUAGAAGUUUGGGCAGCAAUGCAAUUGUGGCUCUCACUUGACUAAUGGUUAUGGAGUUUUGAUUAGACCCAAAUAAGGUUAUAUUUUGAAGGUCAAUGUUUUAAAUGAGAGUAGUUGGUUUAUUAGAACACAAUUUGUGAAUAACGUUCAUGUUGCCUGUUGAGAAG